Molecule: ribosomal RNA, 1506 nt
Filed under: metagenome
Description: bacterial SSU rRNA
Rfam family: Bacterial small subunit ribosomal RNA
Source: RNAcentral
AGUGUUUGAUCAUGGCUCAGGACGAACGCUGGCGGCGUGCCUAAUACAUGCAAGUAGAACGCUGAAGGGAGGAGCUUGCUCUUCUUGGAUGAGUUGCGAACGGGUGAGUAACGCGUAGGUAACCUGCCUUGUAGCGGGGGAUAACUAUUGGAAACGAUAGCUAAUACCGCAUAACAAUGGAUGACACAUGUCAUUUAUUUGAAAGGGGCAAUUGUUCCACUACAAGAUGGACCUGCGUUGUAUUAGCUAGUAGGUGAGGUAAUGGCUCACCUAGGCGACGAUACAUAGCCGACCUGAGAGGGUGAUCGGCCACACUGGGACUGAGACACGGCCCAGACUCCUACGGGAGGCAGCAGUAGGGAAUCUUCGGCAAUGGGGGCAACCCUGACCGAGCAACGCCGCGUGAGUGAAGAAGGUUUUCGGAUCGUAAAGCUCUGUUGUAAGUCAAGAACGGGUGUGAGAGUGGAAAGUUCACACUGUGACGGUAGCUUACCAGAAAGGGACGGCUAACUACGUGCCAGCAGCCGCGGUAAUACGUAGGUCCCGAGCGUUGUCCGGAUUUAUUGGGCGUAAAGCGAGCGCAGGCGGUUUGAUAAGUCUGAAGUUAAAGGCUGUGGCUCAACCAUAGUUCGCUUUGGAAACUGUCAAACUUGAGUGCAGAAGGGGAGAGUGGAAUUCCAUGUGUAGCGGUGAAAUGCGUAGAUAUAUGGAGGAACACCGGUGGCGAAAGCGGCUCUCUGGUCUGUAACUGACGCUGAGGCUCGAAAGCGUGGGGAGCGAACAGGAUUAGAUACCCUGGUAGUCCACGCCGUAAACGAUGAGUGCUAGGUGUUGGAUCCUUUCCGGGAUUCAGUGCCGCAGCUAACGCAUUAAGCACUCCGCCUGGGGAGUACGACCGCAAGGUUGAAACUCAAAGGAAUUGACGGGGGCCCGCACAAGCGGUGGAGCAUGUGGUUUAAUUCGAAGCAACGCGAAGAACCUUACCAGGUCUUGACAUCCCGAUGCUAUUUCUAGAGAUAGAAAGUUACUUCGGUACAUCGGUGACAGGUGGUGCAUGGUUGUCGUCAGCUCGUGUCGUGAGAUGUUGGGUUAAGUCCCGCAACGAGCGCAACCCCUAUUGUUAGUUGCCAUCAUUCAGUUGGGCACUCUAGCGAGACUGCCGGUAAUAAACCGGAGGAAGGUGGGGAUGACGUCAAAUCAUCAUGCCCCUUAUGACCUGGGCUACACACGUGCUACAAUGGUUGGUACAACGAGUUGCGAGUCGGUGACGGCGAGCUAAUCUCUUAAAGCCAAUCUCAGUUCGGAUUGUAGGCUGCAACUCGCCUACAUGAAGUCGGAAUCGCUAGUAAUCGCGGAUCAGCACGCCGCGGUGAAUACGUUCCCGGGCCUUGUACACACCGCCCGUCACACCACGAGAGUUUGUAACACCCGAAGUCGGUGAGGUAACCUUUUGGAGCCAGCCGCCUAAGGUGGGACAGAUGAUUGGGGUGAAGUCGUAACAAGGUA